GGGCCCGCACAAGCAGUGGAGUAUGUGGUUUAAUUCGAAGCAACGCGAAGAACCUUACCAGGUCUUGACAUCUGCCGAAUCCGGAAGAGAUUCCGGAGUGCCCUUCGGGGAGCGGCAAGACAGGUGGUGCAUGGUUGUCGUCAGCUCGUGUCGUGAGAUGUUGGGUUAAGUCCCGCAACGAGCGCAACCCUUGUGAUUAGUUGCUACGCAAGAGCACUCUAAUCAGACUGCCGUUGACAAAACGGAGGAAGGUGGGGACGACGUCAAAUCAUCAUGCCCCUUAUGACCUGGGCUACACACGUACUACAAUGGCCGUCAACAGAGGGAAGCAAGACCGCGAGGUGGAGCAAACCCCUAAAAACGGUCUCAGUUCGGAUCGCAGGCUGCAACCCGCCUGCGUGAAGCUGGAAUUGCUAGUAAUCGCGGAUCAUCAUGCCGCGGUGAAUACGUUCCCGGGCCUU
Molecule: ribosomal RNA, 461 nt
Filed under: uncultured bacterium
Lineage: Bacteria
Description: bacterial SSU rRNA
Rfam family: Bacterial small subunit ribosomal RNA
Source: RNAcentral